Mesocricetus auratus (golden hamster) is the source of this 600-nucleotide long non-coding RNA. RefSeq lists it as uncharacterized. The record is from RefSeq and is a predicted model, not a curated record. NCBI's taxonomy places the organism in Eukaryota, Metazoa, Chordata, Mammalia, Rodentia, Cricetidae. The transcript is spliced from 3 exons.
GCUGGCCUGCUGGGGGGCCUGUGGCAAUGACCUCAUCUGCCCACCCAACCCUACUCCCAAGGCCAGGCUGAAGAGAAGUUGGAGAUCUAGGCGCUAUGUCCCUGUUUGCUCCUGUUCCACUGGCAUGAGGGUAACUGUCAUGUUCCUCUUGUUCUUCUCUGGUCGUGGGAUGGAGGACCUGAUAAGGAAGUCCCUCUCCUCUGGGGCCUUCUGCUCUGGUAAAGGUAAGAUCAUACACUAGGAAGCCCGAUUCUGUCAUCUCCAGGACCAGAUGCUGUUGUUCGAGGACCCUGUGUGUUUGUGGUUUUUAGUGUCACUAAUGAUCAGUUCAUUCAGGAUGCUGCACAGACUGAGCACGCCUCACCUGGAGACCUUGGGACUAAAGGGACUUUCAGAGAUCUGGUGGCAGAGUCACGGCAGCUAUCUUGAGGUCCUGAGGAGGGAAGCCAUACACUGAAGCUGAUGUAACAAACGCUACCCUUUAUUUCUGUUGCAUGUGUGACUAACAACAAAUGAACACUGGCUGGGGGUGGGGGUGUGGCUCAGGGACAUACCAUGUGCUUACAUGUACAGGACUAUCUCCAGCCCCCAAAUAAAUGA